RNAcentral lists this ribosomal RNA (655 nucleotides) under uncultured bacterium. RNAcentral describes it as "bacterial SSU rRNA". It matches the Rfam family "Bacterial small subunit ribosomal RNA", at positions 547 to 1315 of the family's 1533-position model. The record is from RNAcentral.
ACUCCCAUGGUGUGACGGGCGGGGAGGUGAAUGCCCGGGAACGUAUUCACCGCGGCGGCUGGGAGAAUCAAUAUCCUGGUGUACGCCUAAAUACUGGGGGAUAAUAAUGGACUUAUAUGUUUCCUGACCCAGCCUUAAACGGUGUACACUUGGUGUGGGGGGAAUUGACCCCCUCCGUGCCGCAGCUAACGCGAUAAGUGUACCGCCUGGGGAGUACGGCCGCAAGGUUAAAACUCAAAGAAAUUGACGGGGGCCCGCACAAGCGGAGGAGCAUGUGGCUUAAUUCGAUGCAACGCGAAGAACCUUACCAGGGUUUGAAAUGCAACUGCACGUCCCGUGAAAGCGGGAUUCCUUCGAGGGUGUUGCACAGGUGCUGCAUGGCUGUCGUCAGUUCGUGCCGUGAGGUGUUGGGUUAAGUCCCACAACGAACGCAACCCUUGUGUUUAGUUGCCAUCACCGGUGAUGAACCGGUGAGCACUCUAGACAGACUGCCCGUGUUAAGCGGGAGGAAGGUGGGGAUGACGUCAAGUCAGUAUGGCCUUUAUAUCCUGGGCUGCACACGUGCUACAAUGGCCGGUCCAGAGGGAUGCAAUACCGCAAGGUGGAGCAAAUCCCCAAAAAGCGGCCUCAGUACGGAUUGCAGUCUGCAACUCGA